GAGGAGAAAGACGGGGAUUAGCAAAACGAAACAAAACAAGCCUCCUAACCCCGACUGCAGAGGGCCUGGUGGGCACCGACACCACGGUGCUUCAGGGAGAGCAGAUGGGGGACGGCGAGGAAAGGGGAGCUGGAAAGAGAUCAGGAGCUAGAGCAGCUGGGAAAGGGGGUCGAGAAGGCACGCAGGCUGGGGAUAAAUAAAGAGGGGGCGCUGCGGGAAGGCGCUGGGACAGAACGGAAGCUGCAGAGGGGCAAGCGGGCGCCCGCGCUGCGGCUGCCACCACCUCCCACAGCCUUCUCCAGCUCUCUUCAGACACGGUCGCCGCGCCUCCCGUCUGCCCAGCCGGGCCCGCCUCGCAACGGCCGUCACGGCCUUCCAUUGGCCAAGGUCGCCGCCACUCUUCAGUCGCUCUGAAGCUUGCGCCGCUCCCGUUGGCCGGACUCCGCUCUGCCCCUCCCUGCCCGCCCCACGGUCAGCGCCCCUAAAAAACUCCGCGUCGCCCUCGCUGCUGUUGAGAGCCGCCAACUGCACCCAGUGGCUGCCGCCGCUGUCCUUCCGGCGCUGCCAUGGAGACGUAUCCCCGCCCACGGCCCAAAGUCGACGCCCUCAUUGGCCGAAAGCGCCGUCGCUCCGGGAGAAACGCGGGUUUGGGUCGGGUUAUUUGGGUCCAAGUGGAAAGAGGGCGGGUACCGCCUGCUCCAGAGCCCGUAUGUGAUUGGUUGGCCUUGGAGCGACUCAUGCUUCCAUUGGCUAAGGUCUCCGCCUGUCACCAUAGAGUCGCGACCUCCCUGUUCUUUUUCUGUGGCGAAACCUUCGACCACCAGAGGGAGAAAGCAGGGGAGGACGGGAGGGGGGGUGAAUGCGCGCGCACCUCCUUCCCCCCGCCUGUCUGGGCCAGCGGUUGCCAAGGCGACAAAACUUUAUUGACAACCCUGCCCGGUACAAAGGGCUUUUCGCUCUCUUCCUCACUCCUAGACCACCUUCUCUUCCCCUAAAUAACCUGUUUAAUUUUGAGUACCCACAAUACACUCUGUGGGUGAAAGGGUCAGAAAGAAGGAGAUUGAUAGGUGGGGGCUUUGAAGAAAGCCCUGACUCAUGGGGAGCUCCCAUGGGGCACCCCCCCACGCCCACAGUUGAGAUCACCCCUCUGCUCCAGUCCUAGAGGCAAACAUAAUUAGUAAUUCAUCAUAAUUACGCCCAGAAUAAUAAGCCCCACACUUGGAGCAGGCGGUCUUUGUUUUGUUGCCGGCUGUAUAUCCUGUGCUCUUGGAACAAUGCGUGGCACGGAAUAGGUGCUUCAUUAAUUUGUGCUGAAGGAAUGAAUGUAUGAAGCUGG
This is a long non-coding RNA of Orcinus orca (killer whale), 1336 nucleotides long. RefSeq lists it as uncharacterized. The transcript has 2 exons. The record is from RefSeq and is a predicted model, not a curated record. NCBI's taxonomy places the organism in Eukaryota, Metazoa, Chordata, Mammalia, Artiodactyla, Delphinidae.